This is a long non-coding RNA of Sinocyclocheilus rhinocerous, 590 nucleotides long. RefSeq lists it as uncharacterized. The transcript is spliced from 3 exons. NCBI's taxonomy places the organism in Eukaryota, Metazoa, Chordata, Actinopteri, Cypriniformes, Cyprinidae. The record is from RefSeq and is a predicted model, not a curated record.
CGACGACGAGUGUGGAUAUUGAGGAAGCCUGGUCCUCAUUCAAAUCAGAUACACUUUGGAGUACAACUACCUGCUGGAGUGCACUGCCUUAGACCCCAGAUUCCGGGCUCUGCCACAUCUAGAGAAAAACCAGCGUGAAGGUGUAUUCCACAGACUGAAAGAGAAAGCUGCGCUGUUGCAGAACCAGGAUGAGGGUGAAGAAGGUGCCAGUGGCCACCCACCUGCAACAGAGGAGCCUCUUGACCAGACAGAUAGCACAGGAGCUGAGCAGAAACAACCUCCUCCUAAGAAAACUGCACUGGAGGAUCUUCUUGGAGGUUUCGAUGAACCAGCUGCAGCUGCACAGCCUAUUAGUCAGAUUGAUGCAGAAAUGAAUAAGUACAGAGCUGAAACAUCCUUUUCCCUCAACAGCUACCCACUCAAGUGGUGGAAAGAGAAUGCUAGGCUGUACCCACUGCUCUCUGGUCUAGCAAAAGCAUACCUCUCCACACCAGCCACCUCAGUCCCUAGUGAAAGGGUUUUUUCAUCAGCAGGGGACAUUGUAAAUGUGCAGAGAUCUCAGCUAAUGCCAGAAAACGUGGAUAUGCUGA